UUCUUCUUCACCCAGUCUUCUUCAUGUCUUCUUAUUUCUCUGUCCAGGGUUUUUCCUCAUGUCUUUUUCUCUCUUUAUUGGUUCUCCUUCCAAUCUUAUGAGAUAAUGUCUUUCUUUUGUAACCUCUUUUUCUGUUUUUAUUGGGACAUUUGGAUUUUGGGAGAAAACCUAAUGAUUAGUUGAGGUGGUUCUAUCUUGUUCUAAUUAAUGUUUAGUUGUUUGGUUCUUGUUAGAAAAAAGCGACAUAGGUACUCAAAGUGGUAUAAACCAGCACAUAGUUUCUAAAGUAGUAUAAACCAACACAUAGUUUUCAAAAUGGUAUAACC
This 326-nucleotide long non-coding RNA is filed under the name Lupinus angustifolius (narrow-leaved blue lupine). RNAcentral describes it as "long non-coding RNA (LANG_LNC002158)". The record is from RNAcentral. Lineage: Eukaryota; Viridiplantae; Streptophyta; Magnoliopsida; Fabales; Fabaceae.